CCUACGGGUGGCAGCAGUGAGGAAUAUUGGUCAAUGGGCGCGAGCCUGAACCAGCCAAGUCGCGUGAGGGAGGACGGCCCUACGGGUUGUAAACCUCUUUUGCCGGGGAGCAACGGGCGCCACGUGUGGCGUCACUGAGAGUACCCGGAGAAAAAGCAUCGGCUAACUCCGGGCCAGCAGCCGCGGUAAUCCGGAGGAUGAGAGCGUUCUCCGGUUUUAUUGGGUUUAAAGGGUGCGUAGGCGGAUCGUUAAGUCAGUGGUCACAUUGAGGGGCUCAACCCCUUCCCGCCAUUGAAACUGGCGUUCUUGAGUGGAAGAGAGGUAUGCGGAAUGCGUGGUGUAGCGGUGAAAUGCAUAGAUAUCACGCAGAACCCCGAUUGCGAAGGCAGCAUGCCGGCUUCCGACUGACGCUGAAGCACGAAAGCGUGGGGAUCGAACAGGAUUAGAUACCCCAGUAGUC
This 460-nucleotide ribosomal RNA is filed under the name uncultured bacterium. RNAcentral's name for it is "partial 16S ribosomal RNA". It matches the Rfam family "Bacterial small subunit ribosomal RNA", at positions 338 to 795 of the family's 1533-position model. The record is from RNAcentral.